GGGUGGGUAGCUCAGUCUGGUAGAGUACUGCUGUAAGCAGAGGUCGGUGGUUCGAAUCCAUCCCCGCCCA
RNAcentral lists this transfer RNA (70 nucleotides) under Candidatus Thorarchaeota archaeon. RNAcentral describes it as "tRNA-Tyr". It matches the Rfam family "tRNA". Rfam says of the family: Transfer RNA (tRNA) molecules are approximately 80 nucleotides in length. Their secondary structure includes four short double-helical elements and three loops (D, anti-codon, and T loops). Lineage: Archaea; Promethearchaeati; Candidatus Thorarchaeota. The record is from RNAcentral.